Molecule: long non-coding RNA, 1995 nt
Filed under: Cinara cedri
Lineage: Eukaryota; Metazoa; Arthropoda; Insecta; Hemiptera; Aphididae
Source: RNAcentral
UAAAGUUUUUUUAAACUUACCACGAAAAGAUAAAUAUAAAUUUUUUGUUCAAAUUUCAAUUCUCUGCGAAUAUUUUUAACUGAAUUACAAAAAAUAAAAAAUUAAGAUAGUAAGAGCAAUAAUUUAAUAAAGUUCACGUUUUUCUUAAGUUUUAUCUUAGUUUUUCCUAAACAUUAUAAAAUCCGCCUGGAAAAUCAAAAAUAACAUCAUAAUAAACCAAUACAUUUCUCAUUCCACUCUAAAUUUCAUGUUUUAGAUUUUAAGUCAAAUGAGUCUUUUGGUAGAGUAAAAAUAAUGAAAUCACAGUUAUUAUUAUUCAUGUUAUAAUCAAAGGCAUAUAAUACCGUUAAAACUAAUACUACAGUUUAGACAACAGAAUACUCUAGACAAAUACUAUCCUGAUUCGUGGUAUCUACACACAGUGCCAGUAUAUUGUAUUAAAUUAAUUAGUUGCAUUUAUAAAUAAGCAAAUAUAUAUUUAGGUGCGAUAUUUAAAAUUAAAUUAAAAUUGACUGUAAUAAAUAUGGUAUAAUAUAAAUGUAGUAAAUAGAAAUACAGCCUGUAUAUUAUUAACCAUUUUGUAUUAAAUUAUUUAGUCGGAAUGUUAAAUAACUAAAUUAACAAACAGUAAUUUUAUUUAAAAUAAUUUAAAUUUUCUUUUUCUAGCGAAUACUAGUAAAAAAUUCGAGAAUAUGCCACGUAAGUGAUUAUUUUUAUUAAUAUGACAUGCAUUUUUUAAAGUAAAUAGGUAACUGAAUAAAAACUAUAUACAGGGUGAUUCACUAAGCGAACUCUAUGAGUAGAUAUCUUGCAAAAUUAAAAUAUCUGUAAAUUGCUAAAAAAUUGUUAAAACUGUGUUUAAAAUUUCACCACAUCUAAAAAAUCUUCAUGUAAAUUUUUGUUUAAAUUUUAUGUCUAUAAAAUCGAUACAAAUAUUUUUUAUUUAAUUUUAACAAAAAUAUUAAAAUUUGUAUACAAAACUUAAAAAUUGAUCAAAUGAUAUGAAAAUUGUACAUGUUUAGAAUAAGUAAAUGUAAGUUUUCUGUUUAAAUUUAAAAUCUUUAAAGAUAUUUUUAACCAAAUUGGAAACAAUAACAAAUAGAUGUAUUUGUAUUUUUUACACCCCAAAUAAUUCUGAAACCAAGAUUUUUCUCUCUUUUUUCCAGUAAAUUUUUGCAAAAUAUACAAAAUCCAAACUAUCUACCUUAAAGUAUUUUCCAGUCAAAUUGGUUUUCAGAAAAAGUUCUACCAUUGUAAAUCCAAGUAAAACUACAUGUAAAAAGUAUUUAUAGAAAAAAAAAAAAGGUCAUAAAAUUUAACUAUACAUUCGUAAAUAUAAAUCAUAAUUUUAACCUCUACGUCAUAGUUUAGGGUUUUUUAAGUUUAAAAUGUAUGGAGUAGAACGAUUAUUUUCAUGUCUUAUUUUGUAUCAUACUUAGCUUAAUAAAAUUGCAGUCAGUCGAGAAGGUUUUUUACUAGGUAUGACUUAUAACAAUGAAUCUUCCACAUUUUAUCGAUCCUUUUUUUUCUAAUCUUUAUUAACUCUUUUCAUUUAUUAAGUUACAUUCUUACAAUUUAUCAGGUAUUAACCAAAGUGUUAGUAAAUGAGUAUAUUAGUUGUAUAGUUAGAUUAGGUAUAUUUUUAGUAUUUAUUCCUGUGAAUAAUGUAAAAAACAAAAUUGGUUAUCUUUAUUAUCGUUAGAGAUGUUAUAAUACAAUAACUAGGUAUAUCUUAGUGAGACUCUGUAUUAUUUAUAACCAGUGUAGACUAAAUGUUGAUUUAUUAAAACUAACAGGUCCACGUGAAGGACAAACAGUAACUGGUAAGUUUUUAUUUUUCUUUAAUACCGUGUUUUUUUCAAAGUUUGAUUAUAUUUUUUAGAUGCUGUUGUUGCGCAUGUCUUUAACACUUCAAGUAAAUUAUAACUAUAUAUUUUUAAGUAUAUUUUAUUUAACUGAUGAAAAUAAUUAAAUUUAAUCUCACAAUUCAAACCG